RNAcentral lists this ribosomal RNA (515 nucleotides) under uncultured bacterium. Its description in RNAcentral is "partial 16S ribosomal RNA". It matches the Rfam family "Bacterial small subunit ribosomal RNA", at positions 28 to 523 of the family's 1533-position model. The record is from RNAcentral.
GAUGAACGCUGGCGGCGUGCCUAAUACAUGCAAGUCGAGCGAAUGGAUUAAGAGCUUGCUCUUAUGAAGUUAGCGGCGGACGGGUGAGUAACACGUGGGUAACCUGCCCAUAAGACUGGGAUAACUCCAGGAAACCGGGGCUAAUACCGGAUAACAUUUUGAACCGCAUGGUUCGAAACUGAAAGGCGGCUUCGGCUGUCACUUAUGGAUGGACCCGCGUCGCAUUAGCUAGUUGGUGAGGUAACGGCUCACCAAGGCAACGAUGCGUAGCCGACCUGAGGGGGUGAUCGGCCACACUGGGACUGAGACACGGCCCAGACUCCUACGGGAGGCAGCAGUAGGGAAUCUUCCGCAAUGGACGAAAGUCUGACGGAGCAACGCCGCGUGAGUGAUGAAGGCUUUCGGGUCGUAAAACUCUGUUGUUAGGGAAGAACAAGUGCUAGUUGAAUAAGCUGGCACCUUGACGGUACCUAACCAGAAAGCCACGGCUAACUACGUGCCAGCAGCCGCCGUAA